GAUGAACGCUGGCGGCGUGCCUAAUACAUGCCAGUCGAGCGAACGGACGAGAAGCUUGCUUCUCUGAUGUUAGCGGCGGACGGGUGAGUAACACGUGGAUAACCUACCUAUAAGACUGGGAUAACUUCGGGAAACCGGAGCUAAUACCGGAUAAUAUUUUGAACCGCAUGGUUCAAAAGUGAAAGACGGUCUUGCUGUCACUUAUAGAUGGAUCCGCGCUGCAUUAGCUAGUUGGUAAGGUAACGGCUUACCAAGGCAACGAUGCAUAGCCGACCUGAGAGGGUGAUCGGCCACACUGGAACUGAGACACGGUCCAGACUCCUACGGGAGGCAGCAGUAGGGAAUCUUCCGCAAUGGGCGAAAGCCUGACGGGGCAACGCCGCGUGAGUGAUGAAGGUCUUCGGAUCGUAAAACUCUGUUAUUAGGGAAGAACAUAUGUGUAAGUAACUGUGCACAUCUUGACGGUACCUAAUCAGAAAGCCACGGCUAACUACGUG
Molecule: ribosomal RNA, 497 nt
Filed under: uncultured bacterium
Lineage: Bacteria
Description: partial 16S ribosomal RNA
Rfam family: Bacterial small subunit ribosomal RNA
Source: RNAcentral